Molecule: ribosomal RNA, 1554 nt
Filed under: Candidatus Dojkabacteria bacterium HGW-Dojkabacteria-1
Lineage: Bacteria
Description: bacterial SSU rRNA
Rfam family: Bacterial small subunit ribosomal RNA
Source: RNAcentral
UGAGAGUUUGAUCAUAGCUCAGGAUGAACGUUGGCUGUGUGCCUAAGGUAUGCAAGUCGAACGAUCCCUUUCUGAUUUCUAGUAACUUCGGUUGCUAGUUUUCUAUUUGGGAUAGUGGCAAACGGGUGAGUAACACGUAGAUAACUUGCCUCGGAGUCGGGAAUAGCUCGUCGAAAGACGGGGUAAUAUCCGAUAGUCUCUAUUUACUUUUAGUGUUUUAGAGUAAAGCUUUUGUGCUCCGAGAGAGGUCUGCGUCCUAUCAGCUAGUUGGUGAGGUAAUGGCUCACCAAGGCUAAGACGGGUAGCUGGUGUGAGAGCACGGUCAGCCACCAUGGAACUGAGACACGGUCCAUACUCCUACGGGAGGCAGCAAUUAGGAAUCUUGCGCAAUGGGGGCAACCCUGACGCAGCGACACAGCGUGGAGGAUGAAGGUCUUCGGAUUGUAAACUCCUUUUAUAUGGGAAGAAUAGAUGACUGUACCAUAUGAAUAAGGACCUGCUAACUACGUGCCAGAAGCAUCGGUGAUGCGUAGGGUCCGAACGUUAUCCGGAUUUAUUGGGUGUAUAGAGAUGCGUAGGCGGUUUGAUAAGUCUUGAGUUAAAGACCUCGGCUUAACCGAGGAAAAGCUUUCGAAACUAUCAGACUUGAGGCAUAGAGGGGUGAACGGAACUCCGAGUGGAGUGGUGAAAUACGUUGAUAUUCGGAAGAACAUCAGUGGCGAAGGCGGUUCACUGGCUAUUGCCUGACGCUCAGGCUCGAAAGCGUGGGUAGCAAAACGGAUUAGAUACCCGUGUAGUCCACGCUGUAAACUAUGGAUGCUAGGUGUUUGGUACAACUGUUUUUAACCUUCGGGUUUUAAACGGAAGUGCUGAGUGCCGCAGCUAACGCGUUAAGCAUCCCACCUGGGAAGUACGGCCGCAAGGCUAAAACUCAAAUGAAUUGGCGGGGACCCGCACAAGCGGAGGAGCGCGUGGUUUAAUUCGAUGGCAAUCGAAGAACCUUACCAGGGUUUGACAUGUAUCUGCAUAUUCCCAGAAACGGGAAUAGCCUUCGAGGGUGAUACACAGGUGCUGCAUGGCCGUCGUCAGCUCGUGUCGUGAGAUGUAGGGUUAAGUCCCGAAACGAGCGCAACCCCUAUCUCAUGUUACAAGUGUCUUGAGAAACUGCCUCGGUAAAACGGGGAGGAAGGUGGGGAUGACGUCUGGUCCGCAUAGCCCUUAUGUCCUGGGCUACACACGCGCUACAAUGGUCGGUACAAUGGGCAGCCAAGCCGUAAGGCGGAGCUAAUCCUAAAAAACCGAUCUCAGUUCGGAUUGUGGGCUGAAACUCGCCCACAUGAAGUUGGAUUCGCUAGUAAUCGUGGAUCAGCCAUGCCGCGGUGAAUACGUUCUCGGGUCUUGCACACACCGCCCGUCAAGCCAUGGAAGUAGGUGAUACCCGAAGGUGCUCUGUUAUUUAUAAUGGGGUGACGAAGGUAACGCUUAUAACUGGGGUUAAGUCGUAACAAGGUAGCCGUAGGGGAAUCUGCGGCUGAAUUACCUCCUUUCAAGGAG